CUGGCGGCGUGCCUAAUACAUGCAAGUCGAGCGAACGGACGAGAAGCUUGCUUCUCUGAUGUUAGCGGCGGACGGGUGAGUAACACGUGGAUAACCUACCUAUAAGACUGGGAUAACUUCGGGAAACCGGAGCUAAUACCGGAUAAUAUUUGAACCGCAUGGUUCAAAAGUGAAAGACGGUCUUGCUGUCACUUAUAGAUGGAUCCGCGCUGCAUUAGCUAGUUGGUAAGGUAACGGCUUACCAAGGCAACGAUGCAUAGCCGACCUGAGAGGGUGAUCGGCCACACUGGAACUGAGACACGGUCCAGACUCCUACGGGAGGCAGCGGUAGGGAAUCUUCCGCAAUGGGCGAAAGCCCGACGGAGCAACGCCGCGUGAGUGAUGAAGGUCUUCGGAUCGUAAAACUCUGUUAUUAGGGAAGAACAUAUGUGUAAGCAACUGUGCACAUCUUGACGGUACCUAAUCAGAAAGCCACGGCUAACUACGUGCCAGCAGCCGCGGUAAUACGUAGGUGGCAAGCGUUAUCCGGAAUUAUUGGGCGUAAAGCGCGCGUAGGCGGUUUUUUAAGUCUGAUGUGAAAGCCCACGGCUCAACCGUGGAGGGUCAUUGGAAACUGGAAAACUUGAGUGCAGAAGAGGAAAGUGGAAUUCCAUGUGUAGCGGUGAAAUGCGCAGAGAUAUGGAGGAACACCAGUGGCGAAGGCGACUUUCUGGUCUGUAACUGACGCUGAUGUGCGAAAGCGU
Molecule: ribosomal RNA, 743 nt
Filed under: uncultured bacterium
Lineage: Bacteria
Description: bacterial SSU rRNA
Rfam family: Bacterial small subunit ribosomal RNA
Source: RNAcentral